This 468-nucleotide ribosomal RNA is filed under the name uncultured bacterium. Its description in RNAcentral is "partial 16S ribosomal RNA". It matches the Rfam family "Bacterial small subunit ribosomal RNA", at positions 28 to 507 of the family's 1533-position model. The record is from RNAcentral.
GACGAACGCUGGCGGCGCGCCUAACACAUGCAAGUCGAACGGAGUCAAGAGGAGCUUGCUUUUCUUGACUUAGUGGCGAACGGGUGAGUAACGCGUGAGUAACCUGCCCUGGAGUGGGGGACAACAGUUGGAAACGACUGCUAAUACCGCAUAAGCCCACGGAUCCGCAUGGAUCUGCGGGAAAAGGAUUUAUUCGCUUCAGGAUGGACUCGCGUCCAAUUAGCUAGUUGGUGAGGUAACGGCCCACCAAGGCGACGAUUAGUAGCCGGACUGAGAGGUUGAACGGCCACAUUGGGACUGAGACACGGCCCAGACUCCUACGGGAAGCAGCAGUGGGGGAUAUUGCACAAUGGGGGAAACCCUGAUGCAGCGACGCCGCGUGGAGGAAGAAGGUUUUCGGAUUGUAAACUCCUGUCGUUAGGGACGAUAAUGACGGUACCUAACAAGAAAGCACCGGCUAACUACGUG